This 822-nucleotide long non-coding RNA is filed under the name Pan troglodytes (chimpanzee). Its description in RNAcentral is "lincRNA". Lineage: Eukaryota; Metazoa; Chordata; Mammalia; Primates; Hominidae. The record is from RNAcentral.
GGACGGAGGCAGCCGUUAGGAACGGCCCCACUCCACCAGCCGGCCCCGCGGGACGGUUACUCUGUUCCUGAGAUUGUCUGUGGGGUCAGAAACAGCUCUGGAGGGGCCUGCAGAAAUUACUUUCCCAAGUCUUUGGGCUGGAAGGAACGAACAGUGCCUGACCAAGGACUUUGAGCAGGAGAGAGAUGGGAGCAGAGAGGAGCCAAGGUCCACUAUUUUCACUUCUGUCAAUUAGAUCAAAGCCCUGCCCAGAAGCUUUGAGCGCCGCUGUCAAGUCCCAUUCCUCCCCUAAACCAUCCAGGUUCCAUCUGCCUUGAAGCCAAAGGAUCUUCUUAGAUUCCUCAAGAAAAAUUCAGGCCCCGAGUUUCUCCACCAGCACUCUCCUCUCCCCGAAGGAGUGGGUGGGCUGCAUUUCUCUUCAUAUUCUAUUCCAUUCCAGACCGUCUUGGACUACCAGCCUGUCCGCCACCCCUCGGGGCCCUCCCUCCUACUCUGCCCUUGCCCGCUGAGGUCCCAAGCUGAGGAGAUGAGCAGAGCAGUAAAAAGAGAGGAGGUUUGGAAAAGCAAUGUCCUCUCAGUCUUUAACAGGUGGCCCCCCUAGGAACCUGCUGGAAGUGGAAGUUAAUAAGCUGAAGGUGGUCACAACCAAUCUCUGCCACACUCGCACCCUCCGCCACCCCAAAUCAUUCCUUUUAAUUAAUAGUGGAAGACCUUUUUAAAAAUGUAACAUGAAUUGGCUAUUUCUUGAGGCAAACAAAAGGUGGCUCUGAAGCGAUAUAUUUGUACUUGUAUAAAUUCAUUAAAAUAGAAAGCUUAUAACCA